UAAUACAUCGGAACAUGUCCUGUAGUGGGGGAUAGCCCGGCGAAAGCCGGAUUAAUACCGCAUACGAUCUACGGAUGAAAGCGGGGGACCUUCGGGCCUCGCGCUAUAGGGUUGGCCGAUGGCUGAUUAGCUAGUUGGUGGGGUAAAGGCCCACCAAGGCGACGAUCAGUAGCUGGUCUGAGAGGACGACCAGCCACACUGGGACUGAGACACGGCCCAGACUCCUACGGGAGGCAGCAGUGGGGAAUUUUGGACAAUGGGCGAAAGCCUGAUCCAGCAAAGCAAUGCCGCGUGUGUGAAGAAGGCCUUCGGGUUGUAAAGCACUUUUGUCCGGAAAGAAAUCCUGAGGGCUAAUAUCCUUCGGGGAUGACGGUACCGGAAGAAUAAGCACCGGCUAACUACGUGCCAGCAGCCGCGGUAAUACGUAGGGUGCGAGCGUUAAUCGGAAUUACUGGGCGUAAAGCGUGCGCAGGCGGUUUGUUAAGACCGAUGUGAAAUCCC
This 501-nucleotide ribosomal RNA is filed under the name Burkholderia gladioli. Its description in RNAcentral is "bacterial SSU rRNA". It matches the Rfam family "Bacterial small subunit ribosomal RNA", at positions 111 to 603 of the family's 1533-position model. The record is from RNAcentral. Lineage: Bacteria; Pseudomonadati; Pseudomonadota; Betaproteobacteria; Burkholderiales; Burkholderiaceae.